This 720-nucleotide ribosomal RNA is filed under the name Weissella confusa. RNAcentral's name for it is "bacterial SSU rRNA". It matches the Rfam family "Bacterial small subunit ribosomal RNA", at positions 65 to 754 of the family's 1533-position model. Lineage: Bacteria; Bacillati; Bacillota; Bacilli; Lactobacillales; Lactobacillaceae. The record is from RNAcentral.
AACUGAUUUGAAGAGCUUGCUCAGAUAUGACGAUGGACAUUGCAAAGAGUGGCGAACGGGUGAGUAACACGUGGGAAACCUACCUCUUAGCAGGGGAUAACAUUUGGAAACAGAUGCUAAUACCGUAUAACAAUGACAACCGCAUGGUUGUUAUUUAAAAGAUGGUUCUGCUAUCACUAAGAGAUGGUCCCGCGGUGCAUUAGCUAGUUGGUAAGGUAAUGGCUUACCAAGGCGAUGAUGCAUAGCCGAGUUGAGAGACUGAUCGGCCACAAUGGGACUGAGACACGGCCCAUACUCCUACGGGAGGCAGCAGUAGGGAAUCUUCCACAAUGGGCGAAAGCCUGAUGGAGCAACGCCGCGUGUGUGAUGAAGGGUUUCGGCUCGUAAAACACUGUUGUAAGAGAAGAAUGACAUUGAGAGUAACUGUUCAAUGUGUGACGGUAUCUUACCAGAAAGGAACGGCUAAAUACGUGCCAGCAGCCGCGGUAAUACGUAUGUUCCAAGCGUUAUCCGGAUUUAUUGGGCGUAAAGCGAGCGCAGACGGUUAUUUAAGUCUGAAGUGAAAGCCCUCAGCUCAACUGAGGAAUUGCUUUGGAAACUGGAUGACUUGAGUGCAGUAGAGGAAAGUGGAACUCCAUGUGUAGCGGUGAAAUGCGUAGAUAUAUGGAAGAACACCAGUGGCGAAGGCGGCUUUCUGGACUGUAACUGACGUUGAGGCUC